GUCCACGCCGUAAACGAUGAGUACUAAGUGUUGGGAGUCAAAUUUCAGUGCUGCAGUUAACGCAAUAAGUACUCCGCCUGAGUAGUACGUUCGCAAGAAUGAAACUCAAAGGAAUUGACGGGGACCCGCACAAGCGGUGGAGCAUGUGGUUUAAUUCGACGCAACGCGAGGAACCUUACCAGUUCUUGACAUCCUACAAACUUUCUGGAGACAGAUUGGUGCCCUUUCGGGGGAAUGUAGUGACAGGUGGUGCAUGGCUGUCGU
This 264-nucleotide ribosomal RNA is filed under the name uncultured bacterium. Its description in RNAcentral is "partial 16S ribosomal RNA". It matches the Rfam family "Bacterial small subunit ribosomal RNA", at positions 793 to 1055 of the family's 1533-position model. The record is from RNAcentral.